UUGAACGCUGGCGGCAGGCCUAACACAUGCAAGUCGAACGGUAGCAGGGAUCAGCUUGCUGAUUCGCUGACGAGUGGCGGACGGGUGAGUAAUGUCUGGGAAACUGCCUGAUGGAGGGGGAUAACUACUGGAAACGGUAGCUAAUACCGCAUAACGUCGCAAGACCAAAGAGGGGGACCUUCGGGCCUCUUGCCAUCGGAUGUGCCCAGAUGGGAUUAGCUAGUAGGUGGGGUAACGGCUCACCUAGGCGACGAUCCCUAGCUGGUCUGAGAGGAUGACCAGCCACACUGGAACUGAGACACGGUCCAGACUCCUACGGGAGGCAGCAGUGGGGAAUAUUGCACAAUGGGCGCAAGCCUGAUGCAGCCAUGCCGCGUGUAUGAAGAAGGCCUUCGGGUUGUAAAGUACUUUCAGCGGGGAGGAAGGGAGUAAAGUUAAUACCUUUGCUCAUUGACGUUACCCGCAGAAGAAGCACCGGCUAACUCCGUG
This 489-nucleotide ribosomal RNA is filed under the name uncultured bacterium. RNAcentral's name for it is "partial 16S ribosomal RNA". It matches the Rfam family "Bacterial small subunit ribosomal RNA", at positions 30 to 507 of the family's 1533-position model. The record is from RNAcentral.